Molecule: ribosomal RNA, 253 nt
Filed under: uncultured bacterium
Lineage: Bacteria
Description: partial 16S ribosomal RNA
Rfam family: Bacterial small subunit ribosomal RNA
Source: RNAcentral
GACGGAGGAUGCAAGUGUUAUCCGGAAUCACUGGGCGUAAAGCGUCUGUAGGUGGUCAAAUAAGUCAACUGUUAAAUCUUGAGGCUCAACCUCAAAACCGCAGUCGAAACUAUUAGACUAGAGUAUAGUAGGGGUAAAGGGAAUUUCCAGUGGAGCGGUGAAAUGCGUAGAGAUUGGAAAGAACACCGAUGGCGAAGGCACUUUACUGGGCUAUUACUAACACUCAGAGACGAAAGCUAGGGUAGCAAAUGGG